GAUGAACGCUGGCGGCGUGCUUAACACAUGCAAGUCGAGCGAAGCACUUAAGUUUGAUUCUUCGGAUGAAGACUUUUGUGACUGAGCGGCGGACGGGUGAGUAACGCGUGGGUAACCUGCCUCAUACAGGGGGAUAACAGUUAGAAAUGACUGCUAAUACCGCAUAAGACCACGGUACCGCAUGGUACAGUGGUAAAAACUCCGGUGGUAUGAGAUGGACCCGCGUCUGAUUAGGUAGUUGGUGGGGUAACGGCCUACCAAGCCGACGAUCAGUAGCCGACCUGAGAGGGUGACCGGCCACAUUGGGACUGAGACACGGCCCAGACUCCUACGGGAGGCAGCAGUGGGGAAUAUUGCACAAUGGAGGAAACUCUGAUGCAGCGACGCCGCGUGAAGGAUGAAGUAUUUCGGUAUGUAAACUUCUAUCAGCAGGGAAGAAAAUGACGGUACCUGACUAAGAAGCCCCGGGCUUAAUUACGUGCCAGCCGCCCGCGGUAAUACGUAGGGGAGCAAGCGGUAUUCCGGAUUUACUGGGGUGUAAAGGGAGCGUUAGACGGCACGGCAAGCCAGAUGUGAAAGCCCGGGGCUCAACCCCGGGACUGCAUUUGGAACUGCUGAGCUAGAGUGUCGGAGAGGCAAGUGGAAUUCCUAGUGUAGCGGUGAAAUGCGUAGAUAUUAGGAGGAACACCAGUGGCGAAGGCGGCUUGCUGGACGAUGACUGACGUUGAGGCUCGAAAGCGUGGGGAGCAAACA
This 753-nucleotide ribosomal RNA is filed under the name uncultured bacterium. RNAcentral's name for it is "bacterial SSU rRNA". It matches the Rfam family "Bacterial small subunit ribosomal RNA", at positions 28 to 774 of the family's 1533-position model. The record is from RNAcentral.